GGGUUGUGAGGUUAAGCGACUAAGCGUACACGGUGGAUGCCCUGGCAGUCAGAGGCGAUGAAGGACGUGCUAAUCUGCGAAAAGCGUCGGUAAGGUGAUAUGAACCGUUAUAACCGGCGAUGUCCGAAUGGGGAAACCCAGUGUGAUUCGUCACACUAUCGUUAACUGAAUACAUAGGUUAACGAGGCGAACCGGGGGAACUGAAACAUCUAAGUACCCCGAGGAAAAGAAAUCAACCGAGAUUCCCCCAGUAGCGGCGAGCGAACGGGGAGCAGCCCAGAGUCUGAAUCAGCUUGUGUGUUAGUGGAACGGUCUGGAAAGUCCGACGGUACAGGGUGAUAGUCCCGUACACCAAAAUGCACAGGCUGUGAACUCGAAGAGUAGGGCGGGACACGUGGUAUCCUGUCUGAAUAUGGGGGGACCAUCCUCCAAGGCUAAAUACUCCUGACUGACCGAUAGUGAACCAGUACCGUGAGGGAAAGGCGAAAAGAACCCCGGCGAGGGGAGUGAAAAAGAACCUGAAACCGUGUACGUACAAGCAGUGGGAGCACCUUCGGGUGUGACUGCGUACCUUUUGUAUAAUGGGUCAGCGACUUAUAUUCUGUAGCAAGGUUAACCGUAUAGGGGAGCCGCAGGGAAACCGAGUCUUAACUGGGCGUUAAGUUGCAGGGUAUAGACCCGAAACCCGGUGAUCUAGCCAUGGGCAGGUUGAAGGUUGGGUAACACUAACUGGAGGACCGAACCGACUAAUGUUGAAAAAUUAGCGGAUGACUUGUGGCUGGGGGUGAAAGGCCAAUCAAACCGGGAGAUAGCUGGUUCUCCCCGAAAGCUAUUUAGGUAGCGCCUCGUGAAUUCAUCUUCGGGGGUAGAGCACUGUUUCGGCUAGGGGGUCAUCCCGACUUACCAACCCGAUGCAAACUACGAAUACCGAAGAAUGUUAUCACGGGAGACACACGGCGGGUGCUAACGUCCGUCGUGAAGAGGGAAACAACCCAGACCGCCAGCUAAGGUCCCAAAGUCAUGGUUAAGUGGGAAACGAUGUGGGAAGGCACAGACAGCCAGGAUGUUGGCUUAGAAGCAGCCAUCAUUUAAAGAAAGCGUAAUAGCUCACUGGUCGAGUCGGCCUGCGCGGAAGAUGUAACGGGGCUAAACCAUGCACCGAAGCUGCGGCAGCGACACUAUGUGUUGUUGGGUAGGGGAGCGUUCUGUAAGCCUGCGAAGGUGUGCUGUGAGGCAUGCUGGAGGUAUCAGAAGUGCGAAUGCUGACAUAAGUAACGAUAAAGCGGGUGAAAAGCCCGCUCGCCGGAAGACCAAGGGUUCCUGUCCAACGUUAAUCGGGGCAGGGUGAGUCGACCCCUAAGGCGAGGCCGAAAGGCGUAGUCGAUGGGAAACAGGUUAAUAUUCCUGUACUUGGUGUUACUGCGAAGGGGGGACGGAGAAGGCUAUGUUAGCCGGGCGACGGUUGUCCCGGUUUAAGCAUGUAGGCUGGUUAUCCAGGCAAAUCCGGAUAAUCAAGGCUGAGGUGUGAUGACGAGGCACUACGGUGCUGAAGUAACAAAUGCCCUGCUUCCAGGAAAAGCCUCUAAGCAUCAGGUAACAUCAAAUCGUACCCCAAACCGACACAGGUGGUCAGGUAGAGAAUACCAAGGCGCUUGAGAGAACUCGGGUGAAGGAACUAGGCAAAAUGGUGCCGUAACUUCGGGAGAAGGCACGCUGGUGUGUAGGUGAAGCCCCUGCGGGUGGAGCUGAGACCAGUCGAAGAUACCAGCUGGCUGCAACUGUUUAUUAAAAACACAGCACUGUGCAAACACGAAAGUGGACGUAUACGGUGUGACGCCUGCCCGGUGCCGGAAGGUUAAUUGAUGGGGUUAUCCGUAAGGAGAAGCUCUUGAUCGAAGCCCCGGUAAACGGCGGCCGUAACUAUAACGGUCCUAAGGUAGCGAAAUUCCUUGUCGGGUAAGUUCCGACCUGCACGAAUGGCGUAAUGAUGGCCAGGCUGUCUCCACCCGAGACUCAGUGAAAUUGAACUCGCUGUGAAGAUGCAGUGUACCCGCGGCAAGACGGAAAGACCCCGUGAACCUUUACUAUAGCUUGACACUGAACAUUGAGCCUUGAUGUGUAGGAUAGGUGGGAGGCUUUGAAGCGUGGACGCCAGUCUGCGUGGAGCCAACCUUGAAAUACCACCCUUUAAUGUUUGAUGUUCUAACGUUGGCCCCUGACCGGGGUUGCGGACAGUGUCUGGUGGGUAGUUUGACUGGGGCGGUCUCCUCCUAAAGCGUAACGGAGGAGCACGAAGGUUAGCUAAUCCUGGUCGGACAUCAGGAGGUUAGUGCAAUGGCAUAAGCUAGCUUGACUGCGAGCGUGACGGCGCGAGCAGGUGCGAAAGCAGGUCAUAGUGAUCCGGUGGUUCUGAAUGGAAGGGCCAUCGCUCAACGGAUAAAAGGUACUCCGGGGAUAACAGGCUGAUACCGCCCAAGAGUUCAUAUCGACGGCGGUGUUUGGCACCUCGAUGUCGGCUCAUCACAUCCUGGGGCUGAAGUAGGUCCCAAGGGUAUGGCUGUUCGCCAUUUAAAGUGGUACGCGAGCUGGGUUUAGAACGUCGUGAGACAGUUCGGUCCCUAUCUGCCGUGGGCGCUGGAGAAUUGAGGGGGGCUGCUCCUAGUACGAGAGGACCGGAGUGGACGCAUCACUGGUGUUCGGGUUGUCAUGCCAAUGGCACUGCCCGGUAGCUAAAUGCGGAAGAGAUAAGUGCUGAAAGCAUCUAAGCACGAAACUUGCCCCGAGAUGAGUUCUCCCUGAGACUUUAAGUCUCCUGAAGGAACGUUGAAGACGACGACGUUGAUAGGCCGGGUGUGUAAGCGCAGCGAUGCGUUGAGCUAACCGGUACUAAUGAACCGUGAGGCUUAACCUUACAACGCCGAAG
RNAcentral lists this ribosomal RNA (2923 nucleotides) under Klebsiella pneumoniae. Its description in RNAcentral is "23S ribosomal RNA". It matches the Rfam family "Bacterial large subunit ribosomal RNA". Lineage: Bacteria; Pseudomonadati; Pseudomonadota; Gammaproteobacteria; Enterobacterales; Enterobacteriaceae. The record is from RNAcentral.